GGAGAAGGGCCAUAGCUUAGUAGUAGAGCAUCUGUUUUGUGUGCAGAAGGUCUCAGGUUCAAUCCCUAGCAUCUUCA
Non-coding RNA from Podarcis lilfordi (Lilford's wall lizard), 77 nucleotides. The record is from the annotation of a GenBank genome assembly. Lineage: Eukaryota; Metazoa; Chordata; Lepidosauria; Squamata; Lacertidae.